CUGGGAUUACAGGCGUAAGCCACCACGCCUGGCCCUUUUUUACAGUUUUAUUGAGAUAUAAUUUAUAUAUGCCUUUUGAUAUUGUCCCACAGGUCCCUGAGGCUUUGCUUAUUGAUUUUUCAAUCUAUAAUGUGUUUCUCAGAUUAGAUGCUAUCUAUUAUCUAUCUUCAAGUUCAUCAACUCUUCCUCUGUCAUCUGCAAUUUGCUAUUGAGCCCAUCCAGUGAAUUUUUGAGUAUGCUAUUUUUUAGGUCUAAAAUUUUCAUUUAGGUUUUUUAAAAAUAAUUUCUAACUAGGUGGUGGCCACUGCACAAACUAGAUUCUGCUCACUCUGGGCCUCACUCCACUUCCUCUGUGACAGAUCAUAUGACACAUGAUAUGUCAAGACAUAUCAUGUCUGACAAACCUGAUAUGGCUGAGAUCAAGAAAUUUGAUGUCAAAAAUAGAAGAAGACAGAAUUGCAAGAGAAAAAUCCACUGCCUUCCGAAGAAACAAUAGAACAGGAGAAGCAGGCAGACAAAUCUUACGGAGGCAUGCGCCGCCAAUAUGCACUGUACAUUCAACGAGAAUUGCCUUCUUAUUUUACUUAUUUUAGCUGUUAAUUUUGUAAGAUGCAAAGAGGUUGGAUCAACUUUUAAAGGACUUUGCUGCCCUUUUCACAUCAAACAAUAGAAAACUGCUGACGAUGAAGGCCACACCUACCUCUCCCAUCUGCUUGUCUGGCUGUCAAGGAAGGAAAAUAACUUGCAUGUUGGUGAAGGAAGAAGAAGAGUAGGAAGACAGGUAAAUCUAGAGUAAAACCAAGCUGCCCCAAGGUGUCCUGCAGGUUCUCAAAUGCAGUUUAAAUGAAGUUUAAUUAGAGUGCCAUUUUUCUUGUUCAAAUGAUUUUAAUUAUUAGAAUGCAC
This 903-nucleotide long non-coding RNA is filed under the name Homo sapiens (human). RNAcentral's name for it is "non-protein coding lnc-HOXD13-3:2". Lineage: Eukaryota; Metazoa; Chordata; Mammalia; Primates; Hominidae. The record is from RNAcentral.